Molecule: ribosomal RNA, 301 nt
Filed under: uncultured bacterium
Lineage: Bacteria
Description: partial 16S ribosomal RNA
Rfam family: Bacterial small subunit ribosomal RNA
Source: RNAcentral
CAGCAGCCGCGGGAAAACGAAGGGGGCUAGCGUUGCUCGGAAUGACUGGGCAUAAAGGGCGCGUAGGCGGCGAUCAAAGUCAGGCGUGAAAUUCCUGGGCUCAACCUGGGGGCUGCGUUUGAUACUUGGUUGCUAGAGUGAGGAAGAGGGUCGUGGAAUUCCCAGUGUAGAGGUGAAAUUCGGAGAUAUUGGGAAGAACACCGGUGGCGAAGGCGGCGACCUGGUCCAUUACUGACGCUGAGGCGCGAAAGCGUGGGGAGCAAACAGGAUUAGAUACCCCGGUAGUCCCUGUCUCUUAUAC